CCUACGGGAGACAGCAGUGAGGAAUAUUGGUCAAUGGACGGGAGUCUGAACCAGCCAUGCCGCGUGAGGGAUGACGGCUCUAUGGAUUGUAAACCUCUUUUGUCCGGGAGUAAUAGAUGUUACGUGUGGCGAUUUGAGUGUAUCCGACGAAUAAGCAUCGGCUAACUCCGUGCCAGCAGCCGCGGUAAUACGGAGGAUUCGAGCGUUAUCCGGAUUUAUUGGGUUUAAAGGGUGCGUAGGCGGUUGGAUAAGUUAGAGGUUAAAUGUGGGGGCUUAACCCCGUGCGGGCCUUUGAAACUGUUAGACUAGAGAGCGGAUGAAGUAGGCGGAAUGAGUAGUGUAGCGGUGAAAUGCUUAGAUAUCACUCAGAACACCGAUUGCGAAGGCAGCUUGCUAAUCCGCAUCGGACGCUGAUGCACGAAAGUGUGGGUAGCGAACAGGAUUAGAUACCCGAGUAGUC
RNAcentral lists this ribosomal RNA (460 nucleotides) under uncultured bacterium. Its description in RNAcentral is "partial 16S ribosomal RNA". It matches the Rfam family "Bacterial small subunit ribosomal RNA", at positions 338 to 795 of the family's 1533-position model. The record is from RNAcentral.